GACGUAGGUGGCGAACGUUAUCCGGAAUUAUUGGGCGUAAAGGGUGCGUAGGUGGCCUGACAAGUUAUCAGUGGCAAAUCGAGGCUCAACCUCGUGGAAACUGGUAAUACUGUUCGGCUUGAGUACAGGAGAGGUUAACGGAACUCUAUGUGGAGCGGUAAAAUGCACAGAUAUAUAGAAGAACAUCAAUAAAGGCGAAGGCAGUUAACUAUUCUGUUACUGACGCUGAGGCACGAAAGCUAGGGGAGCAAACAGG
This 256-nucleotide ribosomal RNA is filed under the name uncultured bacterium. RNAcentral describes it as "partial 16S ribosomal RNA". It matches the Rfam family "Bacterial small subunit ribosomal RNA", at positions 524 to 776 of the family's 1533-position model. The record is from RNAcentral.